GCCAUAUUUUGUGAACUGGAAGCCUCCUCCACAAGGUCUUGAACACUGGGACCACUUCUUCAGAGCCCAUUCAUACGAUACUGAGUCCUCUUCCAAAACAUUAUUGUUAUCUACAUUCAAGGAAUCUUCAUGGAUCAUGUACUUGUAAGUCAGAGAUAUCUUGGCACCACCAUGAGGAAUCACCAGAAUAACUAUUCCAUUACGCAGAGGCCCCAUGGUCUGCACAGUUUCUCUAUUAUCGUCAUUCCGAUAUUCCCACUCCACACCCAUGUCAAUAAAUACUUUAGAGUCUGGCACGUAGUUGUCUUCACUUAGAAUGAAUCUUCCUGUUUCACGAUUUUUAAUUGCGAGAUGAUGACUGGUGGCGUCUGAUUCCUGUAUAAGUAAAUGCCUUGCCCCAACAGGAAUUUCAAACAUCUUAAUGUGUCCUUGUUUCUUUGGUACUCUUGAAAACGUUCCUUUCACCACUUUGCAGUGGGAAUUAUCUCCUCCGCAAACACCGCACUUAUCUUCCUGCUUCGUGGAUCCUAUGACCCUGUCACACCCAACU
Molecule: long non-coding RNA, 550 nt
Filed under: Gallus gallus (chicken)
Lineage: Eukaryota; Metazoa; Chordata; Aves; Galliformes; Phasianidae
Source: RNAcentral